Molecule: non-coding RNA, 184 nt
Filed under: Pseudodesulfovibrio sp. JC047
Lineage: Bacteria; Pseudomonadati; Thermodesulfobacteriota; Desulfovibrionia; Desulfovibrionales; Desulfovibrionaceae
Description: 6S / SsrS RNA
Rfam family: 6S / SsrS RNA
About the family: E. coli 6S RNA was the first non coding RNA to be sequenced, but its function was unknown until recently. It consists of 184 nucleotides that fold into an extended hairpin structure with a large single-stranded internal bulge.
Source: Rfam by way of RNAcentral
UUCCCCCUGGGGCGUGCGUGAUGGUCUGGAGUGUUAUUGAGCCAAUACUCUGAAAAAGGGCGCCGACUCCAGUGAGCUGGUGAGCAAGCCCGGUAUAACCGGGAAGCCUAAAGGUUCACGAGUCAUGCCCACCUGGACAUGCCAGGUUCAAAACAAACAGGCCACACGGCUCCCCGGGGAUUUA